ACAUGCCUACAACAUAGCAUUAAUGCACCAUAUCCCAUUAGAACUUCACAGUUAAGCAUGCUCGGGCUAGAGUAGUAUUGGGAUGCGUGACCAUUCGGGAAGUCCUAGUUUUUUACAUGCC
Picea glauca (white spruce) is the source of this 121-nucleotide non-coding RNA. The record is from Rfam. NCBI's taxonomy places the organism in Eukaryota, Viridiplantae, Streptophyta, Pinopsida, Pinales, Pinaceae.